GUUUGCUCAGCUCCAUAUGUGGAAAGGGAAAAGACUUCUAACUGUUUAGCACAAUAACAGACCAAAACAAAAGGAGCAAUCAUUUCACUCGUGCUUAGGACAUCAAACUCAUUGCUGAGAUGAUUUAGCUUGGCCAUUAGACAGGAGGAAGCUGCUGCUGGAGCUCUGGGAGCUCCAAAGCCAGAAGAGACCACCCUGCUCUGCCCUAACAGGAUCUGUGUCCUCAGUGGAGAAGGUCGGUCACAGGCCAGCCACCAGGGAGCAGAGAGAGUGCCUACAUGUACGGACUCUCCUCCUACCUGUCGUCCCCCGCCAGAGCUUCCAGGGGCUGAACCCAGUUGGAAGCCAGAGGGCAAGGGGAACACUGAACAUGUCAUCCUUAGAGGCCAGCAGAGAAGCGUGGAGAGCAGACCCAGAGGGCCAGAUGGCGAGUAACCAACACAUUCCUGUAACAUGAUGUUUAUCCAUCUGUGAUGCCCCCUUGCACCCCUUAAACUUUCAGAAGAGUGGGUUGUAAACACCAAGUGAAUCAGACUGUAAAUGUGUAUGUCAAUGACACAAACACAAGUGAAGUCACAGGCAAGGAUAGAAGCAUGUCUCACCCAUCUAGACUGCUGAGAGAGCGCCCCCUGCAGACCAGGGGCCACCAUUCUAGAGCUUGCGGCAGCUCAGCCCUCAGCUCCCACCAGGCAAACAGAACUGAAGUCAUCUCUUAGCCGCCAGUGGGCCACGGCUCUGUUACCAAGGAGCAUGACUCUGGAGGUGAAGAGACCAGUCCGUGGAAGGAACCCCCACAACUCCCUUCUUCGCCACAAGCCAGCAAAAUCAGGAAGCAGAGCAAGGAAGAUGGCUCUCCCACUAACAGUUGGGGGAUGCGUUCCCCAUGUGUUUUGAGAGAAGAAGGCAGCACGGUAAACCCUUCCGAGAUACACGACUCUGGGGCCCAGAGGUGGACUUUUAAAGGAAUUCAGCUGAUCUCCCCACCUCAGCAGCUCAGCAACCCUGCAACCCGGAUGCUCACUCUAUUUGGUACCAAGCCUGCACUUGACUGCUGAAACUGCAGGUGACCAGCCGAAGUGACACAAACUUCCCAGAUGCUUGGACCAGGCCACCCGGUGAUUUAUUGACAGAGGCAGCUUUGCUUGAAGGUCAACACCAGGGCAAUUUGACUAGGCAGGUUGCUAAACCCUAAGGCAGUCAGGGUUUUAAAAUGUAGUUUUUUAUGCUCUCUAUGUCUAGCUAGUUUUAAUGAGCUAUGGUUUUCUUGUGCAAGAAUUAAAGAGCAGUUCCUCAUAGGGACAAAUCCAGGCAAGGGACCAGAGACACAAAUGGCCCCAUUUUCCCCUGGCCCUGCCACCUAUUCGAGGCCAUGGGAAGUAGCCCUGGAUUUCACACCUCCAGACAGGCAGAACAUCAGCCUGUCUCCAGUUGUAAAGGCCUGCUGACUGCUACUAAUAACAUACAUGAUUCUGCUGGGAAGCCUGAGGAGGAAUCGUCUACUUAUUACCUAGUGAAUCAAUUUUAACUUUGAAAGAAAAGACCUAGACUGUGGACCGCAGUGCACAGUGGAGUACGGCGUGGAAAUCCUAGCAGGGUUUUGAUGCCCGGUUUCUGAAAGGGGAAGAGAGGCCCGUCCCCACCUCCCUUUCACCUGUUUUUCUGCUCAGAGUGUGGGAAAGAAGACCUCGUUCCCGGCAGAGGCAGCCUGUGCUCUUCAGCUGGAGCCCUUGAGAGCCGACACUGCGGCAGCAGGGAGCUAGGGCCGGGGGGCCGGGGUGCAGCAUCGUGUUGCCGGCCGCUGAAAGGUGUGGAUGAGAUGAUGCUGAUUACAAGGACUGCAGGAAAGUGGAGAGCGAGCUUCUGAAAAUGGCUGAGACAGGAAGAAAGAAGUGCCCUGUGCGUCCAGGAAAGCGGAUAGUGCGUAUUGGGUGCCUCUUGUGUGUUGGUCAUUCAAAGAUAAGGCCCGUCCCACCUGAAGUUAGCCUGGCUGCUUCUCCCAGGGGCCUUCUCAGAGGCUGGGGGAAAUGGAGUAUCAUUUUCAAUGAAGAAGCAAAUCGGACUGGGAGACCCAUGAGCAUGGUGUAUGGCAAACCAUAAAGCCAUGGGGCCAGAAAGUGUGUUCUCCUGACCCAUUUCUCAGCACAGCUUUGCACAGCCAGCACCUGUCCCUGUCACACAGGAGGCAACACACGAGGGCAGGGCGCUCUGUGUUCCUCUGCUCCCCGGCAGCACCGGGAGUGGUCCGUGGCUCGGACACUAGACCCUCUUACGGAGAGGGAGCUCUCUGUGAUUCUCUUAAAACCUCUCAGACACAGGAAAAAGAGAUGGUCCAGCUUGGUUGUCCCUGUGUUUCACUUUACUGCUCAGUCACACCUUGAGAACAACACAAAAAGGAGAGAAGAGAAAACUUUCACUUAUAUGUGGAAUCUAAAAUAAUGACAAAUGAACUUACUUAUAAAACAAACAGACAGACAUAAAAAACAAACUUAUGGUU
Non-coding RNA from Vicugna pacos (alpaca), 2494 nucleotides. The record is from RefSeq and is a predicted model, not a curated record. NCBI's taxonomy places the organism in Eukaryota, Metazoa, Chordata, Mammalia, Artiodactyla, Camelidae.